CCCGGGAUUUUCCAGGACAGCCUCCCUUGGGUGGGACCCGAUUCUUUUCAGUGAAGGUGAUCCGUUAAACGUCCAAAUGCAAUCGAAUGUUAUGGAGUUACGCGACAUUGUCGUGAAUUCACUCACUAAAGCCAAAUAAACAGUUGAUCAUGUCAGUACUUCUUGUCUUUCUUUUUUUGCUACGGAAAUCUCGUCGCUGCGGCCGGCCGUGGUCUCUUCCGACCGGUUAAGAGCUGGUUCCGAGGCUAAGACUUCAGGUCGGUGUGUGUCCGAAGCGGGGAACCCCGAGAGACGGCGAAGGGGAGAGUAGUCUUCAACUUCUUGACCUUCUUGACCUGCAGACGUUGACAUUUUUUUUUUACUGGCCGUGAUUCCAAGGGAUCGGCUCUCAAGGCUUUGCUGUAUUCCACGGACGCAGCGCCCCAUGCAGUGCCAGAGCGGUUCUGCAGGGGACACGCAUGUGGCUUGUUGUGGCAGCUUCUAGAGGCCACCCAUGUUCCUUGGCUCGUGCCCCUUCCUCCAUCAGGCACGUCCCUUGGACCUCUGCUUCCGUGGCGUGGCUCUCCUUCUCCGACCCUCCUGCCUCCCUCCCCUAUCUUUCAAGGCCUCUUGUGAGUACACUGGGUUCGCUGGAUGAUCUGGGAUCAUCUCCCUGCCUCCAGGUCACUGACUUCAUCAUAUCUGCAAAAUCCCUUUUGUCAUGUUAGGUUCCAGGGAUUAGGACCUGGUCAUCUUUGGAGACCAUGAGUCUGCCAAUCAUACCUCCAUAUGAGCUUAUACUGUUAUUUCCUCAGACCCCUCUUUUUUCACAUGACCUGCUGAUUUUUCUGUUACGAGAGUAGAAUUUCUAUUUGCCCCACCUGUUCCUCCCCCACCCCCCGUCCACCCCCCGCCAUCUACUCUCAGUAUUAAGACAGUGGAAUAAUUGUUUCCUGCAGAGCCAACUCAUUUACUGAGAUUUCAUUCCCUCUCCUGGAGAACAUUUUCUCCCUGGACUUCUAGUUGCCUUUAUCUCUGUCCUGCAGUUUACUCCCAUGUUUCUCCCAGGGCCUUUCCUCCUCCAAGAGCCCCUGGACCUCAGCUCUUUCAGGGGCAGGCUGUGCUCUGGGCACCUCACAGCAAGGUGCUUGGGUUUCAAGGGGGAGAGAGAGAGGGAGAGAUGGGGAAGGAAAGAUACGGAGAGAGAGGAGAGGUGUGUGUGGGGCACGGUGGAGAAAGGACAAACUCUAGAGCACUGAGGACACUGGCCGAGCCCCUAACCGCCUUUGUGGCCUGGCCCUGGGAGUGGGCAGUGCUGCUCCCGAUGCACUCUAGACAUCGAAUUCUAUUCACGAAGGCUCUGUGUUCCAAGGGGAGUUUCAAGGGGAGGCGAACAGAGACAUCACCUCCUGAAGGGAGUAUGGCAACACCCGGGAAGAACAUGUGAGGACAGAAAUAUUACAGUCACCAAUCUCGGAAAAUGCUAAUCUACGGUACAGCGUAACACAGUUGUGUCCCCAAAGAAGAAAUUUGUUCUCUGAUAGACUAGUGGUAGCUGAAUAAAAAAAAAUUACUUGUUUUA
This is a long non-coding RNA of Leopardus geoffroyi (Geoffroy's cat), 1561 nucleotides long. RefSeq lists it as uncharacterized. The transcript is spliced from 2 exons. The record is from RefSeq and is a predicted model, not a curated record. NCBI's taxonomy places the organism in Eukaryota, Metazoa, Chordata, Mammalia, Carnivora, Felidae.